CUACGGACUUAAUUGGAUUGAGCCUUGGUAUGGAAACUUACCAGGUGAAAACUUUCAAAUUCAGAGAAACCCUGGAAUUAAAAAUGGGCAAUCCUGAGCCAAAUCCUUCUUUCCGAAAACAAAUAAAUAAAAGUUUAGAAAGUGAAAAUCAAAAAAGGAUAGGUGCAGAGACUCAAUGGAAGCUGUUCUAACAAAUGGAGUUGACAACAUUUACUCUUUCAAUAGAAUAAUCUUGAUUGAUCAAAUCAGUCACUCCACCAUAGUCUGAUGGAUCUUUUGAAUAACUGAUUAAUCAGACGAGAAUAAAGAUAGAGUCCCAUUCUACAUGUCAAUACCGACAUCAAUGAAAUUUUUAGUAAGAGGAAAAUCCGUCGACUUUAGAAAUCAUGAGGGUUCAAGUCCCUCUAUCCCCAAAAGCCCAUUUAAUUCGCUAAUUUUUUAUCCUAUAUCCCUUUUUUUUUAUUUAGUUGACAUAGACUCAAGUAAUUUCCUAAAAUUAGGGUGGUGUGUCAAGAAUGGUCGGGAUAGCUCAGCUGGUAGAGCAGAGGACUGAAAAUCCUCGUGUCACCAGUUCAAAUCUGGUUCCCGGCGA
RNAcentral lists this non-coding RNA (592 nucleotides) under Medicago truncatula (barrel medic). RNAcentral describes it as "lncRNA gene21670". The stretch from base 1 to 338 matches the Rfam family "Group I catalytic intron". Rfam says of the family: Group I catalytic introns are large self-splicing ribozymes. They catalyse their own excision from mRNA, tRNA and rRNA precursors in a wide range of organisms. The core secondary structure consists of 9 paired regions (P1-P9). Lineage: Eukaryota; Viridiplantae; Streptophyta; Magnoliopsida; Fabales; Fabaceae. The record is from RNAcentral.